GAUUGAACGCUGGCGGCAGGCCUAACACAUGCAAGUCGAGCGGUAGAGAGAAGCUUGCUUCUCUUGAGAGCGGCGGACGGGUGAGUAAUGCCUAGGAAUCUGCCUGGUAGUGGGGGAUAACGUUCGGAAACGGACGCUAAUACCGCAUACGUCCUACGGGAGAAAGCAGGGGACCUUCGGGCCUUGCGCUAUCAGAUGAGCCUAGGUCGGAUUAGCUAGUUGGUGGGGUAAUGGCUCACCAAGGCGACGAUCCGUAACUGGUCUGAGAGGAUGAUCAGUCACACUGGAACUGAGACACGGUCCAGACUCCUACGGGAGGCAGCAGUGGGGAAUAUUGGACAAUGGGCGAAAGCCUGAUCCAGCCAUGCCGCGUGUGUGAAGAAGGUCUUCGGAUUGUAAAGCACUUUAAGUUGGGAGGAAGGGCAGUAAAUUAAUACUUUGCUGUUUUGACGUUACCGACAGAAUAAGCACCGGCUAACUCUGUG
RNAcentral lists this ribosomal RNA (485 nucleotides) under uncultured bacterium. Its description in RNAcentral is "partial 16S ribosomal RNA". It matches the Rfam family "Bacterial small subunit ribosomal RNA", at positions 27 to 507 of the family's 1533-position model. The record is from RNAcentral.